This 804-nucleotide ribosomal RNA is filed under the name Pythium amasculinum. RNAcentral describes it as "eukaryotic LSU rRNA". The stretch from base 188 to 342 matches the Rfam family "5.8S ribosomal RNA". The record is from RNAcentral. Lineage: Eukaryota; Oomycota; Peronosporomycetes; Pythiales; Pythiaceae. RNAcentral also lists the same sequence under 1 other name.
CCACACCUAAAAACUUUCCACGUGAACCGUUAUAACUAUGUUCUGUGCUUCGUCGCAAGACUUGAGGCUGAACGAAGGUGAGUCUGCGUCUAUUUUGGAUGCGGAUUUGCUGAUGUUAUUUUAAACACCUAUUACUUAAUACUGAACUAUACUCCGAAUACGAAAGUUUUUGGUUUUAACAAUUAACAACUUUCAGCAGUGGAUGUCUAGGCUCGCACAUCGAUGAAGAACGCUGCGAACUGCGAUACGUAAUGCGAAUUGCAGAAUUCAGUGAGUCAUCGAAAUUUUGAACGCAUAUUGCACUUUCGGGUUAUGCCUGGAAGUAUGCCUGUAUCAGUGUCCGUACAUCAAACUUGCCUUUCUUUUUUUGUGUAGUCAAAAUUAGAGAUGGCAGAAUGUGAGGUGUCUCGCGCUGUCUUUUUAAAGAUGGUUCGAGUCCCUUUAAAUGUACGUUGAUUCUUUCUUGUGUCUGCGAAUUGCGAUGCUAUGCUCUUUGUGAUCGGUUUAGAUUGCUUUGCGCUGGUGGGCGACUUCGGUUAGGACAUAUGGAAGCAACCUCAAUUGGCGGUAUGUUCGGCUUUGCCUGACGUUAAGCUAAGCGAGUGUAGUUUUCUGUCUUUUCCUUGAGGUGUACCUGUCGUGUGUGAGGUUGAUUUAGGCUAUAUGGUUGCUUGGUUGUGUGGUUUAGCGUUUUCAGACGCCUGCUUCGGUAGGUAAAGGAGACAACACCAAUUUGGGACUGAGAGUUUACUCUCUUUUUCACUUUGGACCUGAUAUCAGGUAAGACUACCCGCUGAACUUAAG